GUCAUUAAUAUUAGGUUGAAGUUGUACGUGCUUACUGGAUUUUUGUGAUUUUUUUUUGUGUUAAGCGGCUAUUAUAGAGUUGAUUUAACUGUUAUUUUUUUCUCUUAAAAGAUUGUACUUAUUAUGAGAUCAUAAUGCCGUCGCUACAUGCAAAAACACUAAUUGAAAUACCAAAGAAACAAGUGUUUUAUAUUUUGAUUUCCAAAAAAAAGACUUGGCGAAGAAGUGGACAUGACCCUGUGGUCGAGAGGAUAAAAUUAAUUCAAAAUAUGAUAAUAUCAAAGGCAAAUAUAAUUCCAUUAUCCGACCAGUAUAGGAAAAGAAAAAGCAAAGAGAAAGAGAAAGAACUAGUUCCGUACCAUCUUCAUUAUUGAAAGGAGUAACCAAUCGAAAUAUGAAAAAACCGGAAAGAGUAUGUGGAUUGAAUAUACCACCAAACCAAUUGACAAUAAAUACUUUGAUGAUUUCAAUGAAAUAGUAGAAAGAUUAGAAUUACUUGUAGCUUCUCAGGCAGCCGGAAAUACUGGUCAUUCAAACGAAAUUGUCUAUUAUUAAAGAAAUGCGUGAGGCUGGAAUAAUUCAAUAAAUAAAGCGGAAACUGAAAUUUUAUAUCAGUAGUUCGUAGAUCUUGAAACAAUGUCUAUCAACAAAUUUGGUAACCCUUUCCUUUCGAAAUCAACCCCCGAUCCAUCGAAUGAAAUACUUAAAUAAUCGCUUCUAUAUCUAUGGCACCCAGAAGGGGAUGUUAUCAAGUUUAAAUUAGGGUCUCCCAAAUCCAUUUGCAUUGAAAUACUGCUGGAGUCUCCGAUACAAAAAAAUGUAUGAAUACGGCUUGGACUAAAUCAUCGAUCAAAGAAAAAAUGUAAUAAUGUGUGUAAAAAGAAUUCUUCUAUAACCCUCUCUCAGUAUUAAUGCGCAUUUUCAGACUGUAUAAACCAUUACAACCAACUAAAUAGUCAUCGAUUGGCGUAACUCAAACAAGAUCGCACGACACCUUUACAUCAAUUUGGUAAUAUGAUGAAGCAUCUAAUGCGGAUAUGGUUUAUAUUAAAGGACGUGAAAACAACACCUAUUUGUGAAUUGGACCCACCUUUUGAACACUCCAAGCCAAAAUAUAUCUAUCAUAAAAACAAUAUUUGUGUUUGUGCACUAUCAAAUCUUAUUUCUAUAUGAUUCUUUUAUAAUGAAAUAAAAAAUGUUUCCAAUA
This is a long non-coding RNA of Diorhabda sublineata, 1207 nucleotides long. RefSeq lists it as uncharacterized. Lineage: Eukaryota; Metazoa; Arthropoda; Insecta; Coleoptera; Chrysomelidae. The transcript is spliced from 2 exons. The record is from RefSeq and is a predicted model, not a curated record.